Molecule: ribosomal RNA, 614 nt
Filed under: Nocardia sp. Ri2Pt_3982
Lineage: Bacteria; Bacillati; Actinomycetota; Actinomycetes; Mycobacteriales; Nocardiaceae
Description: bacterial SSU rRNA
Rfam family: Bacterial small subunit ribosomal RNA
Source: RNAcentral
CGCGUGAGGGAUGACGGCCUUCGGGUUGUAAACCUCUUUUAGACAGGGACGAAGCGAAAGUGACGGUACCUGCAGAAGAAGCACCGGCUAACUACGUGCCAGCAGCCGCGGUAAUACGUAGGGUGCGAGCGUUGUCCGGAAUUACUGGGCGUAAAGAGCUUGUAGGCGGUCUGUCGCGUCUUCUGUGAAAACUGGGGGCUCAACCUUAAGCUUGCAGGGGAUACGGGCAGACUAGAGUGCUUCAGGGGAGACUGGAAUUCCUGGUGUAGCGGUGAAAUGCGCAGAUAUCAGGAGGAACACCGGUGGCGAAGGCGGGUCUCUGGGAAGUAACUGACGCUGAGAAGCGAAAGCGUGGGUAGCGAACAGGAUUAGAUACCCUGGUAGUCCACGCCGUAAACGGUGGGAACUAGGUGUGGGUUUCCUUCCACGGGAUCCGUGUCGUAGCUAACGCAUUAAGUACCCCGCCUGGGGAGUACGGCCGCAAGGCUAAAACUCAAAGGAAUUGACGGGGGCCCGCACAAGCGGCGGAGCAUGUGGAUUAAUUCGAUGCAACGCGAAGAACCUUACCUGGGCUUGACAUAUACCGGAAACCUGCAGAGAUGUACGCCCCCUUG